GAUGAACGCUAGCGGCAGGCUUAAUACAUGCAAGUCGAGGGGCAUCAAGGUACACGAAAGUGUAUUGUUGGCGACCGGCGGACGGGUGAGUAAUAGGUAGGUAACCUACCUCAUACUGAGGCAUAGCUGGGAGAAAUUCCAGGUAAUUCCUCAUGAGGUUAUAUGACACAUGUGAUAUAAUCAAAGGUAUCGCAAGGUACUGGUAUGAGAUGGGCUUACUGACCAUUAGCUAGUUGGUGAGAUAAGAGCUCACCAAGGCGAAGAUGGUUAGGGGUUUUGAGAGAGAGAUCCCCCACAUUGGAACUGAGAUACGGUCCAGACUCCUACGGGAGGCAGCAGUAGGGAAUAUUGGGCAAUGGGCGGAAGCCUGACCCAGCCAUGCCGCGUGAAGGAAGACGGCCUUAUGGGUUGUAAAGCACUUUUGGCGGGAGCGAAACGGCGUUUGCUAAUACCAGACGCUAAUGACGGUACCCGCAGAAUAAGCACCGGCUAACUACG
Molecule: ribosomal RNA, 498 nt
Filed under: uncultured bacterium
Lineage: Bacteria
Description: bacterial SSU rRNA
Rfam family: Bacterial small subunit ribosomal RNA
Source: RNAcentral